This 499-nucleotide ribosomal RNA is filed under the name uncultured bacterium. RNAcentral describes it as "partial 16S ribosomal RNA". It matches the Rfam family "Bacterial small subunit ribosomal RNA", at positions 28 to 507 of the family's 1533-position model. The record is from RNAcentral.
GACGAACGCUGGCGGCAUGCCUAAUACAUGCAAGUCGAGCGAAGUUUUUCUGGUGCUUGCACUAGAAGAACUUAGCGGCGAACGGGUGAGUAACACGUAAAGAACCUGCCUCAUAGACUGGGACAACUAUUGGAAACGAUAGCUAAUACCGGAUAACAGUAUUUCUCGCAUGAGAGAUAUUUAAAAGUUGGUUAUGCUAACACUAUGAGAUGGCUUUGCGGUGCAUUAGCUAGUUGGUGGGGUAAAGGCCCACCAAGGCGACGAUGCAUAGCCGACCUGAGAGGGUGAUCGGCCACACUGGGACUGAGACACGGCCCAGACUCCUACGGGAGGCAGCAGUAGGGAAUCUUCCGCAAUGGGCGAAAGCCUGACGGAGCAACGCCGCGUGAGUGAAGAAGGAUUUCGGUUCGUAAAGCUCUGUUGUUAGGGAAGAAUGGAUAUGUAGUAACUAUACAUGUAAGAGACGGUACCUAACCAGAAAGCCACGGCUAACUACGUG